CCCCAGGUGGUUCAGGGGUAAAGAAUCUGCCUGCCAAUGCAGAAGACCCAGGUUCGAUUCCUGGGUUGGGAA
Molecule: transfer RNA, 72 nt
Filed under: Bos taurus (domestic cattle)
Lineage: Eukaryota; Metazoa; Chordata; Mammalia; Artiodactyla; Bovidae
Also listed under: 3 other names
Rfam family: tRNA
About the family: Transfer RNA (tRNA) molecules are approximately 80 nucleotides in length. Their secondary structure includes four short double-helical elements and three loops (D, anti-codon, and T loops).
Source: Rfam by way of RNAcentral